This 808-nucleotide small RNA is filed under the name Pan troglodytes (chimpanzee). Its description in RNAcentral is "processed transcript". Lineage: Eukaryota; Metazoa; Chordata; Mammalia; Primates; Hominidae. The record is from RNAcentral.
GAUUUGAGGGAAAUGUCUGAUUAGUAGACAGGCCCCAGAAGCUGUGAGGGGCACUCGCACGCGACCAAGGCACCUGUUUCCAAGCAGCUUGCUCAGGAUCUGGCAUACCCCAGUGCCAAUAUCUGCAAUGUGGUCCUGAUGCGGUACGGGGAGCUGGAGGAAGGGAUUGAUGUCCUGGACAGCGAUGGCAACCUCGUGGGCUCCUCCAAGAUUGCAGCCCGACACGCCCUGCUGGAGACGGCGCUGACGCGAGUGGUCCUGCCCAUGCCCAUCCUGGUGCUACCCCCGAUCGUCAUGUCCAUGCUGGAGAAAUUGAAACAUCCCAAUUAGAGCCGGAGAUAGCCCAGGCCACGAGCAGCCGGACAGUGGUGUACAACAAGGGGUUGUGAGUGUGGUCAGCGGCCUGGGGACGGAGCACUGUGCAGCCGGGGAGCUGAGGGGCAGGGCCGUAGACUCACGGCUGCACCUGCAGGGAGCAGCACGCCAACCCCAGCAGUCCUGGGCCCCCUGGGAGAGUGCUCAACCUACAGUGGAGGGAGACUGACCCAUUCACAUUUUAACAUAGGCAAGAGGAGUUCUAACACAUUUCGUACAAAAAAAUAAUCAAGUGCAUUUCUGGGCCUUAUGUGGGGUUGUCAAAACUCCACUCAGCACAAUUAUGUGUGAAGCUGAAAAAUUGUAGAGUGCCCAUGGGGUAGAAGUAGAAUCCUUUUAUACUUUGGUUCCUUUUUUAUUUUUAUUUUUUAUCAGAAUCAAAUCUGAGCCUUAGUUUCAGCUGACCAGAAGUGGCAGGAGGACAGGUGGAGGC